GUCUUUUUUAGUAGCCACUUAGUCACAAACACUGGCCAAAGUUUGUGUUUAUAUUUGUUUUUGUGUAAAAAAUGCAAAAAACAAAUAUGAACGCUAACUUUGGCCCGUGUUUGUGACUAAGUGGCUACUAAAGAUGAC
Non-coding RNA from Pelobates cultripes (western spadefoot toad), 138 nucleotides. Lineage: Eukaryota; Metazoa; Chordata; Amphibia; Anura; Pelobatidae. The record is from the annotation of a GenBank genome assembly.